Molecule: ribosomal RNA, 259 nt
Filed under: uncultured bacterium
Lineage: Bacteria
Description: partial 16S ribosomal RNA
Rfam family: Bacterial small subunit ribosomal RNA
Source: RNAcentral
UUAUGCCUACGGGGGGCAGCAGUGGGGAAUAUUGGGCAAUGGGCGCAAGACUGACCCAGCAAUGCCGCGUGAAGGAAGAAGGCCCUCGGGUUGUAAACUUCUUUUAUCAGGGACGAAGGAUGUGACGGUACCUGAUGAAUAAGCUCCGGCUAACUACGUGCCAGCAGCCGCGGUAAUACGUAGGGAGCAAGCGUUAUCCGGAUUUACUGGGCGUCAAGGGCGCGUAGGCGGGAUGGCAAGUCAGAUGUGAAAUCCAGGG